CGUGGGGCAGUAGGGGUGUAGCAAUACAUCUGCUGGCGACCGGCAAUAGGUGCGUUAACUCGUACGCAACCUUCCCGGUUACUGUGGCAUAGCCCAGGGAAACUUGGAUUAAUACCACAUAUCAUAUUGAGGAGGCAUCUCUUUGAUAUCAAAGUUUCGGCGGUAACUGACGGGCGUGCGGAUGAUUAGGUAGUUGGCGGGGUAACGGUCCACCAAGCCUACGAUC
RNAcentral lists this ribosomal RNA (226 nucleotides) under uncultured bacterium. Its description in RNAcentral is "partial 16S ribosomal RNA". It matches the Rfam family "Bacterial small subunit ribosomal RNA", at positions 63 to 281 of the family's 1533-position model. The record is from RNAcentral.